Molecule: long non-coding RNA, 2743 nt
Filed under: Arabidopsis lyrata
Lineage: Eukaryota; Viridiplantae; Streptophyta; Magnoliopsida; Brassicales; Brassicaceae
Description: long non-coding RNA (ALYR_LNC001262)
Source: RNAcentral
UGUGAAGGUAACUUAAAAACACAAAGGGGAGUAGGGGACACUUAAUCCUCUUUCGUCAAAAUCGCAGCCGUCGAGGGUCACAAAAAACCGAUUCUUAGAUCCGCCUCUCCGGUGGUCGGUGCUUCUCACCGGCACCGCGAGAGGGCUCUUAUUGUUGUUCCUUUGCUUUGUUCUUAGUCUUGUUGGUGUUUCCUUUGGUGAAACCUUGGCGAUUGGAGUGGCGGUUUUGUUGCGGCGUGGGUCUUUGGUGAUUGCAAAGGUGGAUUUUGCAAGGAUUGGCGGAUUCUCUAUGCUUUAAAGGUGUUGGCUCUGGUUAGUGUUGUCGGGUGAUGGUGGAUCUGGUAAGUGACGAGAGCUUGUGGUUGUUGGAAGUUUCUGUCCCCUUGGUUCUUUUGGGGCUGUGGUGGUGUUGGCCUUUGCCGGGUGGGCUGCUCCUCUCGUUGGUUUCUCGCAUGGUUGCACUUGGUGUAGUCUUUGUAUUUUGUGUUGAUGGCUUAAUCGUUGCCUCUGGUCUCUUGCUUGUGGCUUUAAGGUUGUAUAAUCGUUAGUUUAGGUAGCUUAAGGGGUUGUGUAGGUUAGUUUAGGCUCUGAUUCUACGGAUAAUCCGGGAUUUUGGUAUGGCUACCUCGUUCUCCUUCCUCUCUUGCUGCCCGAAGCUUUGGUCUGAGCUUGCUAGAGCUCUCUUGUUUUUGUGUCUUGCUGAGCUUGCUUUUGUCCUUUGAUGAGCUUUAUUGUGAUCUCUCCGGUUCGAUCGUAUGCUUUUCUCCUUUUGAGUUUAGUGUUUGCCGGUUAGAGGUUUGUUUCGCUCCUUGUCUCUACACUCAAGACCUGAUCGAGGUCUGGUCAGUUCAUGUCUUCUAACGAGGCGAUUAAAGGUCGUGGUUUGCGACAAAUGCCGCUUCCGAAAGAUUUGUGGGAUUUGGUCUCUUUGUCUCGCGUCUUUCUUGUCGGAAUAGAAGUCUAGGUUCAUUCGAUUUGAGAGGUACCUUGGCUACGCAAUAGGAGGUUUCGUUGACUGCAAGAUGGACACGUGUUGUCCUUUGUGGCUGGCUUGGUUCACAUUUGUGUGGGAGUAAGAUUGGCAAGUUCGUUUUCUUUCGAGCUUUUGUUUAAGUUUUUGACUGUUGUUUCGUUUUUGUGGAUUGUAUUCUCCACGUGUUCAACUGGUUCCCUCUUUUGGGCUUUCGCUUCCCUCUUUUGGGAUUUAAGUUUCCGGGGAUUUCUAGUGUUUCCGCCGGCUUAUGUAUUUCAACAAUGUAUCCUUCUUUGUGAUAUUAAUAAAAACAGACGACAAAAAAAAAAGAGUAGGGGACACUUGUGACCAAAUACAAGACUUGUGGAAGACAUGACAGCAAGGCAAUGUGAUUGCUUCUUCUCCAAGAAAUAUCUCCCCAACGCAAAUCAUACACGGAUUAAGCCGAUCCAUGUCUGAUCUAAGCACCUUAAAACGCUCUAACCCGAAAAUCGUAGAUCUAUAUGUUGGUACCGUAGAGCUGCUCGAAGAAAUCUCCAUCUGAACCGUCUUUAUCAUUGCCUGGUUAGCUCUUCUAGACACAUCAUAGGGAUGCAUACAAUGAGUGAAACCCAUCUCCGAUAUUACUUCUCUGAUUUGUUUUUCCACUCUUUUCUUGAUCAGAUCCGAGAUUUUACUCUCAAUCAAUCGCUCACAUUGUAUGUCCCUAUAAAUCUUGUUCAGGGACUCGUAAUCAUCAGGCGUUACCUCAAGGUUUCUGUUGAUUUGAUACUUAAGAGUCAACCACAUAUCAUAACAAGAAAACUCAUCCUUCUUGAUGGUUUUCAACUAGUCCAUAAGACUUUCGAUAUCUCCAGGUUUAUUCAACAACUUAUGUUCAAGAUCGUGGGACAAGAAAGGCGAAUUCUCGCAAAUCUCCCUCCGUAAAACCUCGUACGCCUUCCAAGUAGUAAAAUCUGUGGACUCUGUUUCUGUGUCAAGGUACGAACAGGGAAAACAAAAUCUGUGAGUGGACUUUCUUGUUGUUUCCCUCGUGGAUUUAGGGAUGUAGAUAGCGACCAAGUUAUACUCAACCUAUAUAAAGAAUUGAGCAUACGAGAGAGUCUUCUCGCAGUCAUCAACACCAUUCUGUUUCGAAUGUGAUUUCAUCAAAACAGUUUGGUAAUACGUUUCGAGGGGAGGAAGUCUUAACCAAGGGCCAUAGACGUUUGUUCUUGACGUGUCGUUCAAGGCACGUUCCUUAGGAAACCUAACCUGAUCGCAAUUGCUUUUCACGUGACCAACCAUGCCACAGUUGUAGCAAAAAUCACCUAAGUUUCUAUAUUUAAACUCCACGAACCGGUUUUGGUUUUCGCCUAUGUAGAAUCCUUGUUUGAGUGGCUUAUUGAGAUAAAUUUCCAUUAGGAAACAGACAAUAUUGUUUCUUAUUGUUGAACUUAUGUUGUCUCAGGAAUAUAGAUGCAGAUCACAAUACGUACAUACAAACACGUACACUUUAUUAAAUGAGUAACCAGAAGAGAACUGAAACUGAAAUACGUACACAAGUAUGUACACCGUCGAUCUCUUCUCUGCUUUAACGUAAGAACAACGUAUAGAUUGAUUGAGGCUUGCAAUAAGCAAUCUCCUAAGACAGAAUUUUGCCCCUACGAUGGUGUUAGUAGCUUUCUGUGGGCGUUUAUCUUGCAGGAUACAACAAUCGAUCUCUGUAUUCACACCUAUACAGAGACCCUAGCAAACCUACUUUGAGAUUCUCAGAAACUAAUUUGGAAA